RNAcentral lists this ribosomal RNA (292 nucleotides) under uncultured bacterium. Its description in RNAcentral is "partial 16S ribosomal RNA". It matches the Rfam family "Bacterial small subunit ribosomal RNA", at positions 505 to 796 of the family's 1533-position model. The record is from RNAcentral.
GUGCCAGCAGCCGCGGUAAGACGGAGGGUGCAAGCGUUGCUCGGAAUCAUUGGGCGUAAAGGGUGCGUAGGCGGCUUCUUAAGUCUGACGUGAAAGCCCAGGGCUCAGCCUUGGAAGUGCGUUAGAAACUGAGAAGCUUGAGUGCCGGAGGGGAGAGUGGAAUUCCUGGUGUAGCGGUGAAAUGCGUAGAUAUCAGGAGGAAUACCGGUGGCGAAAGCGACUCUCUGGACGGCAACUGACGCUGAGGCACGAAAGCGUGGGUAGCAAACAGGAUUAGAUACCCCCGUAGUCC